GCAGGGCCGCCUCCCAGGACGAGUGGUGCACACACCGAGUCGUCUCGGCCGUCAGACGUGCACCGACGUUCUUCAGUGUCGGCACCCACACGACCCCUUCUAUCACGUCUUGGAGGGUCCGAGCAACAUGGUCCGUCUGCACAAGUCUCGACGCAGCCUCGCAGAUUGAGCCCUGUACAUCCACAGUCAGAUUACUUCGGUGACGAGGCCGGUCCGUGUUCGGCGGCCCCACACCCUACCCCCCCGGCAACGUACUACGGCACGUCAGCGUGGCCUUCUUCUGCUGCACCGUCGUACCACGCAGGUACAAUUAUACAUUUUUUACUACU
Molecule: long non-coding RNA, 329 nt
Organism: Phragmites australis (common reed)
Lineage: Eukaryota; Viridiplantae; Streptophyta; Magnoliopsida; Poales; Poaceae
Exons: 3
Source: RefSeq, a predicted model, not a curated record